CUACAUUAGAUACCCGGGUAGUCCCAGCCGUAAACUAUGCGCGUUAGGUGUAUCGGUGACCACGAGUUACCGAGGUGCCGAAGGGAAACCGUGAAACGUGCCGCCUGGGAAGUACGGUCGCAAGGCUGGAACUUAAAGGAAUUGGCGGGGAGCACCACAACAGGUGGAGCCUGCGGUUUAAUUGGACUCAACGCCGGGAAGCUCACCGGAUAGGACAGCAGAAUGAUUGCCGGGCUGAAGACCCUGCAUGACUAGCUG
This 258-nucleotide ribosomal RNA is filed under the name uncultured archaeon. Its description in RNAcentral is "partial 16S ribosomal RNA". It matches the Rfam family "Archaeal small subunit ribosomal RNA", at positions 724 to 982 of the family's 1478-position model. The record is from RNAcentral.